CAAUGCAUCCAAACGGGCACUUAGAAAUCCAAUAGGAUUCCUAUCCAAAAGGCUCUUGAUUAUCUCUUUGAAUUUUCUCUUGGUUUUAAUGUGCCCUAGGACCUUGGUCAGCAUAGCUUCCUCGUAAAUAUGAUUAUGAUUCACAGAUGCCAUUUCUAUAGUUUGCAUAACCACUUAUCCUUUGCCCUUUCUUUAUUUUGGAGUAUCUACUCAAAGUGGCCACUGAUGAGAUGCUAAUGUCAAGCAGCCUAUGAGCUUUCAAAGAAAGAAGGCAAAGUGGGGACACCUGAACGACCACUUUCUGACCUUGGACUUUUGAGCUACAGAGGGUAUUGGACAAGGGUUCUUCUAGACAUCCUGAAGAAAUACAAAAGCAACAUCUCCAUCAAGGGGUGAUAUGCCCCUGGCUCUGUGGGCCGCUGAAGUCGGAAACAGUUGGAGGACUACCUUUGACAUUGCUGAUGACUGGCAUAGCAUGAUCGCGAGAGCUGAUGCAAAUGAAGUGUAUGCCUAUCUUGCUAGGCCUGGUGGCUGGAAUGAUCCAGACAUGCUGGAAAUAGUAAAUGGAGGGAUGA
Magnolia sinica is the source of this 575-nucleotide long non-coding RNA. RefSeq lists it as uncharacterized. The transcript has 4 exons. The record is from RefSeq and is a predicted model, not a curated record. Lineage: Eukaryota; Viridiplantae; Streptophyta; Magnoliopsida; Magnoliales; Magnoliaceae.